CUUCGGUACAAUAUACAAGGUGCUGCAUGGUUGUCGUCAGCUCGUGCCGUGAGGUGUCGGGUUAAGUCCCAUAACGAGCGCAACCCUAUCAUUAGUUGCCAUCAGGUCAAGCUGGGGACUCUAAUGAAACUGCCUACGCAAGUAGUGAGGAAGGUGGGGAUGACGUCAAAUCAGCACGGCCCUUACGUCCAGGGCUACACACGUGCUACAAUGGCCGGUACAAAGGGCAGCUACCUGGUGACAGGAUGCUAAUCUCAAAAGACCGGUCUCAGUUCGGAUCGGAGUCUGCAACCCGACUCCGUGAAGCUGGAAUCGCUAGUAAUCGUGGAUCAGCAUGCCACGGUGAAUACGUUCCCGGGCCUU
RNAcentral lists this ribosomal RNA (363 nucleotides) under uncultured Sphingobacteriales bacterium. Its description in RNAcentral is "bacterial SSU rRNA". It matches the Rfam family "Bacterial small subunit ribosomal RNA", at positions 1019 to 1382 of the family's 1533-position model. Lineage: Bacteria; Pseudomonadati; Bacteroidota; Sphingobacteriia; Sphingobacteriales. The record is from RNAcentral.